This 410-nucleotide ribosomal RNA is filed under the name Phrynobatrachus cf. dendrobates TRL-2016. RNAcentral's name for it is "partial 12S ribosomal RNA". It matches the Rfam family "Bacterial small subunit ribosomal RNA", at positions 772 to 1401 of the family's 1533-position model. Lineage: Eukaryota; Metazoa; Chordata; Amphibia; Anura; Phrynobatrachidae. The record is from RNAcentral.
CUGGGAUUAGAUACCCCACUAUGCCUAACCGUAAAAAAUUAAUUACACCCCCAACGCCCGGGAAUUACGAGCCCAAACUUAAAACCCAAAGGACUUGACGGUGUCCCACCCACCUAGAGGAGCCUGUCCCAUAAUCGAUACCCCCCGCUAUACCUCGCCAUUUUUUGCCUACAGUCUGUAUACCUCCGUCGUAAGCCUACCAUGUGAAUGACUGAGUAAGCUAAGCGGCCCCCGCCAACACGUCAGGUCAAGGUGCAACUUAUGAAAUGGUAGACGAUGGGCUACAAUCUCUAAUUUAGAAUAAACGAAAAACUGUAUGAAACACAGUAUGAAGGUGGAUUUAGUAGUAAAAAGAAAAUAGUAUAUUCUUUUUAACUAGGCACUGGGACGUGUACACACCGCCCGUCACC